This 283-nucleotide long non-coding RNA is filed under the name Capsicum annuum. Its description in RNAcentral is "long non-coding RNA (CANN_LNC010292)". The record is from RNAcentral. Lineage: Eukaryota; Viridiplantae; Streptophyta; Magnoliopsida; Solanales; Solanaceae.
CCUUGACUUGCUUGGGAUUUGUGGACAUUGUCUGUUGUCUGUUGUUGCUGUUGCUGUUGUCGUUUCUUCCACUGCUUCGAAUUGGGUUAUUGGCGGGGAACCUGCAUUUGGGGCUGUGGGUGUUGAGUCCAGCGGUGUUUGCCCCCUAAUUGAGUAUAGUUUUGUUUCGGGAGUAUUCCUUUGAAUUUGUGUGAGCCUUGUAUUUCCUUGCUGCUGCUUUGAUACUACCACCGUGUAUAUCUUUAUAUUUUCCUAUACUUUCGUGUAGUUGUGGCUGUNNNNN